RNAcentral lists this ribosomal RNA (634 nucleotides) under Arthrobacter sp. Se1Pt_350. Its description in RNAcentral is "bacterial SSU rRNA". It matches the Rfam family "Bacterial small subunit ribosomal RNA", at positions 381 to 1024 of the family's 1533-position model. The record is from RNAcentral. Lineage: Bacteria; Bacillati; Actinomycetota; Actinomycetes; Micrococcales; Micrococcaceae. RNAcentral also lists the same sequence under 1 other name.
GCCUGAUGCAGCGACGCCGCGUGAGGGAUGACGGCCUUCGGGUUGUAAACCUCUUUCAGUAGGGAAGAAGCGAAAGUGACGGUACCUGCAGAAGAAGCGCCGGCUAACUACGUGCCAGCAGCCGCGGUAAUACGUAGGGCGCAAGCGUUAUCCGGAAUUAUUGGGCGUAAAGAGCUCGUAGGCGGUUUGUCGCGUCUGCCGUGAAAGUCCGGGGCUCAACUCCGGAUCUGCGGUGGGUACGGGCAGACUAGAGUGAUGUAGGGGAGACUGGAAUUCCUGGUGUAGCGGUGAAAUGCGCAGAUAUCAGGAGGAACACCGAUGGCGAAGGCAGGUCUCUGGGCAUUAACUGACGCUGAGGAGCGAAAGCAUGGGGAGCGAACAGGAUUAGAUACCCUGGUAGUCCAUGCCGUAAACGUUGGGCACUAGGUGUGGGGGACAUUCCACGUUUUCCGCGCCGUAGCUAACGCAUUAAGUGCCCCGCCUGGGGAGUACGGCCGCAAGGCUAAAACUCAAAGGAAUUGACGGGGGCCCGCACAAGCGGCGGAGCAUGCGGAUUAAUUCGAUGCAACGCGAAGAACCUUACCAAGGCUUGACAUGGGCCGGACCGGGCUGGAAACAGUCCUUCCCCUUUGGG